Molecule: ribosomal RNA, 213 nt
Filed under: Pseudo-nitzschia fraudulenta
Lineage: Eukaryota; Bacillariophyta; Bacillariophyceae; Bacillariales; Bacillariaceae
Description: partial Bacterial large subunit ribosomal RNA
Rfam family: Bacterial large subunit ribosomal RNA
Source: RNAcentral
GAAUGUGACUAGAACGAGUUGGAAAGCUCGACCACAGUGGGUGACAGUCCCGUAUAGGAAGCAUGAUUGGACGUAUUAAGUAGGGCGGGACACGUGAAAUCCUGUCUGAAGAUCGGAGGACCACCUUCGAAGGCUAAGUACUCCUUACUGACCGAUAGCGAACCAGUACCGUGAGGGAAAGGUGAAAAGCACCCCGAUAAGGGGAGUGAAAUA